GACGAACGCUGGCGGCGUGCUUAACACAUGCAAGUCGAACGGAAAGGCCCCUUCGGGGGUACUCGAGUGGCGAACAGGUGAGUAACACGUGAGUAACCUGCCCUUGACUUCGGGAUAACUUCAGGAAACUGGGGCUAAUACCGGCUAGGAAUCCUUGCUGCAUGGUGGGGGUUGGAAAGCUUCGGCGGUUUUGGAUGGACUCGCGGCUUAUCAGCUUGUUGGUGGGGUAGUGGCUUACCAAGGCUUUGACGGGUAGCCGGCCUGGGAGGGCGACCGGCCACAUUGGGACUGGGAUACGGCCCAGACUCCUACGGGGGGCAGCAGUGGGGAAUAUUGCACAAUGGGCGGAAGCCUGAUGCAGCAACGGCGCGGGGGGGAUGACGGCCUUCGGGUUGUAAACCGCUUUCAGCAGGGGCGAAGCUUGUGGUGACGGUACCUGCAGAAGAAGCACCGGCUAACUACGUG
Molecule: ribosomal RNA, 465 nt
Filed under: uncultured bacterium
Lineage: Bacteria
Description: partial 16S ribosomal RNA
Rfam family: Bacterial small subunit ribosomal RNA
Source: RNAcentral